AUUGAUUUAAUGUUAUAUUAAAAAGAUCCAAUUUAUACAUCCAUAUUUUCCAUAAUGUUGUAUAGGUUUUCUUAACUCAGACCCAAACAAUCCUCCCUCUCAUUUCUCUCUUCCAAUCGACCAUCUCUCUUCUCUUUCACUCAAAGCUCACCUCACAACCCCCCCGCUUCCGCACCACCGCCGUCGCACCUUCACUUUCAUCCAUCCCGCCACCGUCCACAGACACAACCACCCACCACCAUAACACAUCCACGUAUUUUUUUUUCUCUCUCAAUCUGUUUCUACCACUUCCACAUAAGAGACACGAGCUUCAUGCAUCUUCUUCAAGUUUUAUAGUUCUUUCUUCAUAUUGUUGUUUCUAAGCUUGACAAUGGAGGGUAGAUAUUUUAUUGGUAUCUUACUCCUUCAUAGCCUGGCUUCACUUUUGGUGAAAUGUGACUCAUCAUCUAGCCAAGAUAAAAAUCUAAAGACUUAUAUUGUCUACACCGGAGAUAUCUUAGGAAAUGAAACUUAUUCACUUCUCCGUUACAAAGAUUUGAUACAUCAAGAAACUCAGCACCCAAAUCUAUAUUAUGCUACUAUUGGAAGAGUUUUAGUGGUUUUGCGGUGAAGCUAACGCAAAAGGAAGCCGAUAGAAUGGCUGAUCUUAAAGGGGUUGUGUCUGUUUUUCCAGAUAAAGCUUACAAACUCGAUCCACCACCACUCCUUCCACCAGAUGAUAGAAUUUCACUGGCUUGGACAGUACAAAAUUUAAGUUACUUAUUCACUGUAAUUCUAAACAUACUACUUUAUAUUAUUAUUGAAUAAAUCGCGUACUUUUGUUAAAAUGAAAAUCAAAUUCUACACUUUAAUUAAUAACAGAAGAUAUAUCGCAGUAA
Lathyrus oleraceus (garden pea) is the source of this 878-nucleotide long non-coding RNA. RefSeq lists it as uncharacterized. Lineage: Eukaryota; Viridiplantae; Streptophyta; Magnoliopsida; Fabales; Fabaceae. The transcript has 5 exons. The record is from RefSeq and is a predicted model, not a curated record.